AAAAAGGCUUUAGUCAAAGCCAUGAAUAAAUUAUUUUAAUAUCUAG
Myotis davidii is the source of this 46-nucleotide non-coding RNA. The record is from Rfam. Lineage: Eukaryota; Metazoa; Chordata; Mammalia; Chiroptera; Vespertilionidae.